RNAcentral lists this ribosomal RNA (492 nucleotides) under uncultured bacterium. Its description in RNAcentral is "partial 16S ribosomal RNA". It matches the Rfam family "Bacterial small subunit ribosomal RNA", at positions 29 to 507 of the family's 1533-position model. The record is from RNAcentral.
AGUGAACGCUGGCGGUAGGCCUAACACAUGCAAGUCGAACGGCAGCACAGUAAGAGCUUGCUCUUACGGGUUGCGAGUGGCGGACGGGUGAGGUAUACAUCGGAAUCUACUUUUUCGUGUGGGUUCACGUAGGUAAACUUACGCUAAUACCGCAUACGACCUACGGGUGAAAGCAUGGGAUCUUCUGACCUUGCGCGAUUGAAUGAGCCGAUGUCGGAUUAGCUAGUUGGCGGGGUAAAGGCCCACCAAGGCGACGAUCCGUAGCUGGUCUGAGUGGAUGAUCAGCGACACGGGAAGUGAGACACGGACAAGAGGACUACGGGAGGAAGCAGUGGGGAAUAUUGGACAAUGGGCGCAAGCAUGAUCCAGCAAUACCGAGUGGGUGAAGAAGGCGUUCGGGUUGUAAAGACGUUUUGUUGGGAAAGAAAAGCAGCAGGUUAAGACCACGCUGUAGUGACGGUAACCAAAGAAUAAGCACCGGCUAACUUCGUG